AUGUUUUUCCAGCGCAAGAAUUCCAAGAAAGUGAAAAACACCGAUGCAUCAUCGCCCAAGAAGGACAAAGAUAGCCGUGGGAAGAACGACUUCUUCGAUGGCGCCAAGGGUGGGUUUGGUGCCCUUGCAGGAAGCAUCAAAUCAGCCAAGAAUGACGCUGAAGAGAGGGCAGCAAAGGUUCAAGAGGAUGUGAACGCCGGCAUUGAAGCAAUCCUGGAGACGGGCUCAGGCAUUCUUGAGAAAGCCAAGGAGGAUGUUGGAGGCCAUUCAGAAACAAGCCGCUCGAAGGAACUAGGUCAAGGAAGUGAAGAAGAAGAAGAAGAAGAAGAAGAAGAACAAGGAGAGAAGGACAUGGAUGCCUUAAGUUCGAUGCUCGACAAGGCGAAAGACAAGGUGAAAAGCAACCCUGAUGUGAUGGAGAAAGUCAAUUCGGUCCUCGACAAGGUGAAGAACCACCCAGAAGUCAUGGAGAAAGUUGCUGAGGUUUUACAUCUGGGAAAACGUGAAUCCAAAGAGAAAGAGCCCGAGGCCGAGGACAAGGCAAAAGAAGGCGAGACCUCUGCCGACAAGACCCAAGACUCAAACAUCCUAGACCAGGCCGUGGAAGAAAUUCAGGCUGUUGUAGCAGCUGUGCAGCAGCAGGAAACAACCGGGGAUGAAACUCAAGUUCCAGUCGAGGCUGCUGCCGAAACUGACGCUCCAGCUCAAGAAGAAAAACGGGAGGUGGAGAAAGACAACCCCAAGAACCGAAUCGACUUCCUUGGAUUCUUCGCCAUGAUCUUUGAGAGGUUCUGCUCCCCAGCUGACAAGAAGAAAGACUAG
Molecule: ribosomal RNA, 822 nt
Filed under: Triticum aestivum (bread wheat)
Lineage: Eukaryota; Viridiplantae; Streptophyta; Magnoliopsida; Poales; Poaceae
Description: partial small subunit ribosomal RNA
Source: RNAcentral